UACGUAGGGUGCGCGCGUUGUCCGGAAUUAUUUGGCGUCAAGGGCUCGUCGGCGGUUUGUCGCGUCGGGAGUGAAAACACUGGGCUUAACUCAGUGCUUGCUUCCGAUACGGGCAGACUAGAGGUAUUCAGGGGAGAACGGAAUUCCUGGUGUAGCGGUGAAAUGCGCAGAUAUCAGGAGGAACACCGAUGGCGAAGGCAGGUCUCUGGGCAUUAACUGACGCUGAGGAGCGAAAGCAUGGGGAGCGAACAGG
Molecule: ribosomal RNA, 253 nt
Filed under: uncultured bacterium
Lineage: Bacteria
Description: partial 16S ribosomal RNA
Rfam family: Bacterial small subunit ribosomal RNA
Source: RNAcentral